Molecule: small nuclear RNA, 93 nt
Organism: Eremothecium sinecaudum
Lineage: Eukaryota; Fungi; Ascomycota; Saccharomycetes; Saccharomycetales; Saccharomycetaceae
Source: RefSeq, a predicted model, not a curated record
AUGCCAAUAUUUGGGACAUCCCAUAAACGCCCCUUUCGCUAACAACAACUGUCUUUUCCACAGUUCGUAGUUUGAUAGUAGGCGGGCGGAAAU